CCUACGGGGGGCUGCAGUGGGGAAUAUUGGACAAUGGGGGGAACCCUGAUCCAGCCAUGCCGCGUGUGUGAAGAAGGCCCUCGGGUCGUAAAGCACUUUCAGUGAGGAAGAACGCCUGGUGGUUAAUACCCAUCAGGAAAGACAUCACUCACAGAAGAAGCACCGGCUAACUCCGUGCCAGCAGCCGCGGUAAUACGGAGGGUGCGAGCGUUAAUCGGAAUUACUGGGCGUAAAGCGCGCGUAGGUGGCUUGAUAAGCCGGUUGUGAAAGCCCCGGGCUCAACCUGGGAACGGCAUCCGGAACUGUCAAGCUAGAGUGCAGGAGAGGAAAGUAGAAUUCCCGGUGUAGCGGUGAAAUGCGUAGAGAUCGGGAGGAAUACCAGUGGCGAAGGCGGCCUUCUGGACUGACACUGACACUGAGGUGCGAAAGCGUGGGUAGCAAACAGGAUUAGAUACCCCAGUAGUC
Molecule: ribosomal RNA, 465 nt
Filed under: Vreelandella stevensii
Lineage: Bacteria; Pseudomonadati; Pseudomonadota; Gammaproteobacteria; Oceanospirillales; Halomonadaceae
Description: partial 16S ribosomal RNA
Rfam family: Bacterial small subunit ribosomal RNA
Source: RNAcentral